RNAcentral lists this ribosomal RNA (499 nucleotides) under uncultured bacterium. RNAcentral describes it as "partial 16S ribosomal RNA". It matches the Rfam family "Bacterial small subunit ribosomal RNA", at positions 28 to 507 of the family's 1533-position model. The record is from RNAcentral.
GACGAACGCUGGCGGCGUGCUUAACACAUGCAAGUCGAACGGGCCCGCCCCUGUUUUUGGGGGUGGGUUGAGUGGCGAACGGGUGAGUAUCACGUGAGUAACCUGCCCCCUGCUCCUGGAUAACUGCUUGAAAGGGCGGCUAAUACGGGGUGUGCCGGCUGGUCCGCAUGGGCCUGGUCGGGAUAGUUUCAUCUUCGGGUGUUUCGGCGGGGGAUGGGCUCGCGGCCUAUCAGCUUGUUGGCGGGGUGAUGGCCCACCAAGGCGGUGACGGGUAGCCUGCGUGGGAGGGUGGGCGGCCACGCUGGGACUGAGGCACCGCCCAGCCUCCUGCGGGAGGCAGCAGUGGGGGGUAUUGCACAAUGGGCGGAAGCCUGAUGCAGCGACGUCGCGUGAGGGAUGGCGGCCUUCGGGUUGUGAACCUCUUUCUCCGGUGGUGAAGGCCCUGUCCGUUGCGGCGGGGUUGACGGUAGCCGGGUAUGAAGCGCCGGCUAACUACGUG